RNAcentral lists this unclassified non-coding RNA (221 nucleotides) under Hevea brasiliensis (rubber tree). Lineage: Eukaryota; Viridiplantae; Streptophyta; Magnoliopsida; Malpighiales; Euphorbiaceae. The record is from RNAcentral.
GAAAAAUUCAGUCUCGAUACAUGUAUGCAGAAAACCCAAAUAUGGGUCCAGAAACAAACUAAAAACAAUCACGAAAUACCUGCUUUCCCCAUAGAUAAAUAAAUAUGCCCGCAGUCGAUAUGAAGUAUAAUCAACUCUCUCACCUACAACUAUGGAAAAUUUGAAAUCCACUUCGAAGUGAAAGAGAAGCCAAAAUGGAGAGCACGGCCCUUCAAUAUCAA